UGGGGAAUAUUGCACAAUGGAGGGAACUCUGAUGCAGCGACGCCGCGUGAACGAAGAAGGCUUUCGAGUCGUAAAGUUCUUUUAUAUGGGAAGAUAAUGACGGUACCAUAAGAAAAAGCCCCGGCUAACUACGUGCCAGCAGCCGCGGUAAUACGUAGGGGGCUAGAGUUGUCCGGAAUCACUGGGCGUAAAGGGUUCGCAGGCGGAAAUGCAAGUCAGGUGUAAAAGGCAGUAGCUUAACUACUGUAAGCAUUUGAAACUGCAUAUCUUGAGAAGAGUAGAGGUAAGUGGAAUUUUUAGUGUAGCGGUGAAAUGCGUAGAUAUUAAAAAGAAUACCGGUGGCGAAGGCGACUUACUGGGCUCAUUCUGACGCUGAGGAACGAAAGCGUGGGUAGCAAACAGG
This 403-nucleotide ribosomal RNA is filed under the name Verrucomicrobiota bacterium. Its description in RNAcentral is "Verrucomicrobia bacterium partial 16S ribosomal RNA". It matches the Rfam family "Bacterial small subunit ribosomal RNA", at positions 355 to 776 of the family's 1533-position model. The record is from RNAcentral. Lineage: Bacteria; Pseudomonadati; Verrucomicrobiota.